Molecule: long non-coding RNA, 4639 nt
Organism: Choloepus didactylus (southern two-toed sloth)
Lineage: Eukaryota; Metazoa; Chordata; Mammalia; Pilosa; Megalonychidae
Exons: 4
Source: RefSeq, a predicted model, not a curated record
GAGAGGGUGGGGUGUUCUUUUUCUUUUUCUCGUCCUGACAGCGCCAGCCGAAGCGAACUUGAACUGACAAAGCGCGAGGAAACUUCUUUGGAAAGUUUAUGUAGCGCGAUUAGUGGCGGAGACGCAGGACUAGCAGGCGGGCAGUGCCGGGAUGGGCGUGGGUCAGCAGACUGGGUGUGAUUGAGGGUGGGAGUGGUGGCCAGGUGCUGAGGCCGUUAAAGAUCUAGGUUCCUCAGGAUGAAGCCCUCUAACGGCCCCAGAGGCUUCGAGGGACCCGGUGACUGUGGGGUGUGCGUUUCUUUAGGAGUCAGACACGGUGGGGCCAAGAUUUCGGCGUGGGUUGUGUUGGUGCCGAAAGCUCUAGCCAGCGACCGAUCAGGAGGCAGCGGGAAAGCAGGGGAUUAGAUCUGCCUGUCCCGGGGCCGGGACCCCAGCUUCCCUGUCCUGCGAGGCCGCGCACGCCAGGGAUAUUUGGAGCGACGUGCGCGGUUUAGUGUCGCGGUUCGGGCUCUCCGCGCACCACGUGCUUUCAUGGCCUCGGGCAGAGACCCUAGGGCGAGCACCUCCGCAGGGGAGAGGGACCACGCAGUGAGGACUUGGCUUCCGCGAAGCCUGAGCCCGCGUAUCCUUGCUGGGGGCAGGACGAAGUGGCCCAAACCAACUUCUCCCUGCGCCCUGGAAAGGACGCGUGAUGCUCCUGCAAGAGCGCAAGGCCGCCGCGGCCCAUUCCACACUUGGCCUGGCACUGGGCUUUUCCUCACUGCGCACCAGGGAAAGGUACAAUUCAAUAUAACAACCAAGUGCAACGCAUUCUUUUGGUUUUUUGCUCUGAAGUCUAAGGCAUUUCGAAGAGGUAGCUCCCAAUUUCCAAAUAAAUACCUACCGUUCUAAAGCCCACUUGGGUUCCGGUGACUACUGGAAAAAAAGAGAGAUAGAGGUAGAGAUAAAAAAGGGAGAGAGAGAGAGCGAGAGAGGAAAGAAGGAAAAGAAGGGAAGGAAGGAAGGAAGCCAAAAUCGGAUGUGAGUUUACAGCCUGAAGCAGCUUGUUUCGGCUCGCUGAGCGCCAUUUCGAACCGCGUAGCUCGAGCUAUUUCUGGAGUAGUUGGAGAGUGGAGAUAAAAUACGUUUUAUUUAAAGUGACUUCUCUCCCAGAACGCGACUUUCGUCCUCCGUUCACUCGGUGUCCGUGUCACCGCUCCGGUUUAGCGCAACCCGGGCGACGCAGUCUUUGGUAUAUAAACCAGGCCAGCUCCCUGGUGAAACUACCUGUUGGGGGGAUUCCGCAGCCUAGAUAUUCGUCCCUCUUUUCCCCUCCGCAAUCCUGACAGCGGUGGGACGACUCUAGGGAUGGUUGGAGAAGGGAAAGGGUAGAAGAGCCGUGAGAGGCGGAGAAAGUCAGCUGUGCCUGGCAGGUCCCAGCGAUUUGCGCCCGCGCCUUUCUGCGCUUCUGCUGGUUCUUCCGGAACCAGAAGCAGCCCCUCGUACUCUGUGCGGGGCCCCUGGCUACAGGGAUGGGUCCAAACUUGGCACAAUUCUCCAAGUUCGGAAACUACGAAAAGGUUCCAUUUAUGCUUGCUCUUCGGUGUGUGUCUAAGUUACACACACACACACACACACACACACACACAGCCUCCUAGCGGCUUCCUCGGCGCCCGCCCCCCACCCUGCAUUCCAACACCCAACAAUUUUCUCUGCACCGAAAUUCACUUUAUUACUUCAAGAAAUUCGGAAAACGCCGCUGAGGCUUGGACGCCUGGCAACCCAGGAGAUGUCUAAAGCUCCCGCACGAGCUGCUUAGGGGAAAUCACCCUGUUAUUGUGAGCAAACAGAAUCUAUUUUUAAAAUUAACUGGAUGAGGCAGCGGAGUUAGCAAGGAAAAUUUGAGCAGGUUUCGUUGGAGGAAUUUUCGGAAGCUGGGGGACUGGGAGAUUUUAGUCUCUCAAGCAAACCUGUGGGAAGACAGUUUGGGCCGGGCCCUGGGACUGCACGCACUGCCUGGGUGUGGUGCGCGCAUUUAACAGCCCCUUUUCAGGCAAACUCUCUAGCAGACCCUCCUCGACAUUAAAUUUGGGGUUGUGGAGGCUCUGGCUGGGCUUAGCCGAAAAGUUUGCCCCCCAGACUCGGUAGGUACUCGCUGUUGUGUCUCCGAUGCGGGUUUCAGCAUUUCCCGUGCCCUUCGGGAGCGCGGUAUUUCAGAGACCCUACUAGGUGGGGGGCCCGUUCGGGAGUCCGAGGGGACGGGAAGACUUUCUCUGUGACUAGGGAUUUAGUGGUGCUUUAUUUCUCACGGCAUGCGCUCCGGUUAACCAAGGUCACAAAACACCGGUUGGAAAACGAAAUAGGGGCAAUUACUCAAUUGCGAAAUAGGAGAGGGUUACCCCUCGUCUUGUUCGGGAAACUCCAUUUGACAGCGAGGACGGCGGGGCGACGCGGAUGAACGAGAAUUUGUUAACGAGAAUUAAUUGCACAAAGAUGAAGGUCGAGAGAACCAAAAGACGGCUCAAAAUGAAUCCAGUGCCACAGUCCUUUUUAAUGAUCUUGGAGCACGGACCCAAGGAUAAUAAACAAUGCUGCUUAGUAAGAAACAAACGGGAGCGGGAAAGAACCACGCGGAAAAGCAAGCACAGAGAUAUUUUAAUAAGUGGCCAUUCAGGAGUGCCUUUGCAAGAGACUUAAAAUGUACAACGAAAUUUUCAGCUGUCUCUGGCUUUUUCUGCCUACCCUUGAAGACAACUUCUCCUAGGAAGGUGUUCUGCCUGAUGAAUGCAAACUUGAGAGCCCACCUCUGCAAAGACUGUGGCUGAAUUUAGCAGGAAUGUUGGACGGAUACACUGGAGAGACAUGCAAGGGAGAAAAUGAAACUCUCCACUGGCUUCAGACAGGGAAGCUAAUAUUUUUCCCCCUUUUUCCUCGCAGGUUUCCAACCUCCUUAGUUUCCUAGGGUUGCCAUAACAACGUACCACACACUGGGUGGCUUAAAACAACAGAAGUUUACUGUCUCACGGUUCUGGAGUCUAGAAGUCCAAGUUAAGGCUCAGGCAGGGCCAGGCUUCCUCUGAGCCUGUAGGUUCUGGUGUGACUUGCUGGAAAUCCUUUGUGUUCUUUGGCUUGUGACGUAACUCAUCCUCUGCCUCUGUAACAUGGCUGCCUUAUCUGUCUGUCUACAUCUAAAUGUCCUCUCUUUAUAAGAACAUCAGUUGUAUUGGAAAUAGGGCCCACCUUAAUCCAGUUUGGCUUCAUGUUAACUAACAACAUCUUCAGAGAUCCUAUUUCCAAAUAGGAUCACAUUCACCAGAUGUGGGGUUAGGAUUUGAACUUACCAUUUUGGGGGACACAAUUCAGGACUCUGAUUUUCAGUUUGAGUAAGGUUUUAUUUUUAUUAUUCUUUAUACUUUCCAUAUAGAGGGUCCCUGAAGGAACAUUGUGAUGGGCUAGCAUUUCUACCAAUAGGUACAAAGACCAAUUUGGGAAUAUACUCUAUCUAAGGGGCUGUAUGACUGGGUUUCCAUUGAAAUUUGGGACCGUCUCUGGUACAGUCAGGCGAUUUUAAAUAGGAUCAGCUCUGGGAAGAAUUACACAGAUGCUGCAAAUUUUCCUCUCCUAAACCUGCAGAUCUAGUCUCAAGGGUAAGCAAUCAGUUUUACCAGACAGCAAUUUCUUUCCCAUUGAACUUGAACUCUUAUCUCUGGGUAAUGGGUAUAAGGUUAAAAACAACUUUUUUUUAGGAACUUAAUUAUUGUCCAGCGAGGGGUAACUUAAAUAGCCCCUUAGUUUUACAGAGGGAGCCUGUUGGCAGUGAGGUCAGGGCUUAGGUGAUGCAGAGGGAAUUUAGUCACACCUGGGUGAUUAUUUGUGGCCCUGGAGUCAGGUCCACUUUUCUCCUGGCAAACAGCACCCUCCUCCUCCUCUACCAAAAAUGGUAGGCCUGGUGGUAGUGACCCAGUAUUUGAGAGGUUCGAAAUUCUACAUGUGUCAUUUCUGAUUUAGGUCCUAAAUGACUAUUCUUUCAAUCACGUGGAAAACAAGGAACCUAGCUAAGACAUUUAAAUUAAAAGACCAUUGUUUAAAAGAAAUGAAAAGUAUACCCACACACAGAAAAAACUUAUAUAUGACUGUUCACAGAAGCAUUAUUCAUCAUGGCCAAAAUGUGGAAAAAAACCCAAAUGUCCAUCAACUAAUAAAUGGAUAAAAAUAUGGUUUAUUCAUAUAAUGGAAUAGUAUUGUGCAAAAAAAAGAUGAAAUAUUGAUACAAGAUACAACAUGGAUGAACCUUGAAAUCAUGCUAAAUGAAAGCCAGACACAGAGGAUCAUAAAUUGUAUGAUUCCAUUUAUAUGAAAUAUCCAGAAUACACAAAUCCUUAGAGACAGCAAAUAGACUGGUUGUGCCUGGGGCUAGGGUUAAGAGUGAGGGCAUUGGGGGAGAAUGGCUAAGGAGUAUAGGGUUUCUUCUUGAGGGUGAUAAAAAUGUUUUUAAAUUAAUUGUGGUGAUGCUUGCAUAACUCUGUAAAUGUGCUAAAUACCAUUGAACUGUACACUUUAAAUGGGUGAAUUGUAUGGUAUGUGAAUUAUAUCUCAAUAAAGCUGUUAAGGUUGUGUUAAAACAAAUUUAUAUGAACUAAAUAAAAUGAGAUUAACAUAA